This 384-nucleotide ribosomal RNA is filed under the name uncultured bacterium. Its description in RNAcentral is "bacterial SSU rRNA". It matches the Rfam family "Bacterial small subunit ribosomal RNA", at positions 29 to 440 of the family's 1533-position model. The record is from RNAcentral.
AACGAACGCUGGCGGCAUGCCUAACACAUGCAAGUCGAACGAGACCUUCAGGUCUAGUGGCGCACGGGUGCGUAACGCGUGGGAAUCUGCCCUUGGGUUCGGGAUAACAGUUGGAAACGACUGCUAAUACCGAAUGAUGACUUCGGUCCAAAGAUUUAUCGCCCAGGGAUGAGCCCGCGUCGGAUUAGCUUGUUGGUGAGGUAAGAGCUCACCAAGGCGACGAUCCGUAGCUGGUCUGAGAGGAUGAUCAGCCACACUGGGACUGAGACACGGCCCAGACUCCUACGGGAGGCAGCAGUGGGGAAUAUUGGACAAUGGGCGAAAGCCUGAUCCAGCAAUGCCGCGUGAGUGAUGAAGGCCUUAGGGUUGUAAAGCUCUUUUACC